RNAcentral lists this ribosomal RNA (486 nucleotides) under uncultured bacterium. RNAcentral's name for it is "bacterial SSU rRNA". It matches the Rfam family "Bacterial small subunit ribosomal RNA", at positions 34 to 500 of the family's 1533-position model. The record is from RNAcentral.
GAUCGAACCGCUAGCUACCAGGACUUAACACAUGCAAGUCGAGGGCAGCAUGGAACUUAGCUUGCUAAGUUUGAUGGCGACCGGCGCACGGGUGAGUAACACGUAUCCAACCUUCCGUUUACUCAGGGAUAGCCUUUCGAAAGAAAGAUUAAUACCUGAUAGUAUGGUGAGAUUGCAUGAUAACACCAUUAAAGAUUUAUUGGUAAACGAUGGGGAUGCGUUCCAUUAGGUAGUAGGCGGGUAACGGCCCACCUAGCCGACGAUGGAUAGGGGUUCUGAGAGGAAGGUCCCCCACAUUGGAACUGAGACACGGUCCAAACUCCUACGGGAGGCAGCAGUGAGGAAUAUUGGUCAAUGGGCGAGAGCCUGAACCAGCCAAGUAGCGUGAAGGAUGAAGGUCCUACGGAUUGUAAACUUCUUUUAUACGGGAAUAAAGUUUCCUGCGUGUAGGAUUUUGUAUGUACCGUAUGAAUAAGCAUCGGCUAA